RNAcentral lists this long non-coding RNA (215 nucleotides) under Linum usitatissimum (flax). Its description in RNAcentral is "long non-coding RNA (LUSI_LNC008239)". Lineage: Eukaryota; Viridiplantae; Streptophyta; Magnoliopsida; Malpighiales; Linaceae. The record is from RNAcentral.
GAUAGUCUAUAUCCCAUCCCGAUGGCCAUCUUCCAUACUCACCAUCUAGCUCCACAUGCCAACUCCAUCUCUCUCUCACAGUGGAAUCAACAUUUGGGACACACUCAUUUCGAUAAUGUGAAGCGUGUUCUUCGACAUUUUUCUUUACCUGUUGCUAAUAAGGAUAUUACUUCAAUUUUCCAUUAUUGUUGUGUUGGCAAAAUGCAUAAAGAACC